CGCUCAUCCAGAGGGGCAGAGGGAACGGCCCGUUGAAGCCCCGGCAACCCUCCAGCCGGCACUCGCACAGCGCGAGGCCCCGGCGGGGAAGGUGCCAAGUCCGGCCUGCGGCGAGAUGCGCCGACAGGAAAGAUGAGGA
Molecule: non-coding RNA, 139 nt
Filed under: Wenjunlia vitaminophila
Lineage: Bacteria; Bacillati; Actinomycetota; Actinomycetes; Kitasatosporales; Streptomycetaceae
Description: Streptomyces vitaminophilus SAM-I sequence
Rfam family: SAM riboswitch aptamer (S box leader)
About the family: The SAM riboswitch is found upstream of a number of genes which code for proteins involved in methionine or cysteine biosynthesis in Gram-positive bacteria. The SAM riboswitch acts at the level of transcription termination control. The predicted structure consists of a complex stem-loop region followed by a single stem loop terminator region.
Source: Rfam by way of RNAcentral